This 925-nucleotide ribosomal RNA is filed under the name Leuconostoc pseudomesenteroides. Its description in RNAcentral is "bacterial SSU rRNA". It matches the Rfam family "Bacterial small subunit ribosomal RNA", at positions 516 to 1441 of the family's 1533-position model. Lineage: Bacteria; Bacillati; Bacillota; Bacilli; Lactobacillales; Lactobacillaceae. The record is from RNAcentral.
CGCGGUAAUACGUAUGUCCCGAGCGUUAUCCGGAUUUAUUGGGCGUAAAGCGAGCGCAGACGGUUGAUUAAGUCUGAUGUGAAAGCCCGGAGCUCAACUCCGGAAUGGCAUUGGAAACUGGUUAACUUGAGUGCAGUAGAGGUAAGUGGAACUCCAUGUGUAGCGGUGGAAUGCGUAGAUAUAUGGAAGAACACCAGUGGCGAAGGCGGCUUACUGGACUGUAACUGACGUUGAGGCUCGAAAGUGUGGGUAGCAAACAGGAUUAGAUACCCUGGUAGUCCACACCGUAAACGAUGAACACUAGGUGUUAGGAGGUUUCCGCCUCUUAGUGCCGAAGCUAACGCAUUAAGUGUUCCGCCUGGGGAGUACGACCGCAAGGUUGAAACUCAAAGGAAUUGACGGGGACCCGCACAAGCGGUGGAGCAUGUGGUUUAAUUCGAAGCAMCGCGAAGAACCUUACCAGGUCUUGACAUCCUUUGAAGCUUUUAGAGAUAGAAGUGUUCUCUUCGGAGACAAAGUGACAGGUGGUGCAUGGUCGUCGUCAGCUCGUGUCGUGAGAUGUUGGGUUAAGUCCCGCAACGAGCGCAACCCUUAUUGUUAGUUGCCAGCAUUCAGAUGGGCACUCUAGCGAGACUGCCGGUGACAAACCGGAGGAAGGCGGGGACGACGUCAGAUCAUCAUGCCCCUUAUGACCUGGGCUACACACGUGCUACAAUGGCGUAUACAACGAGUUGCCAACCCGCGAGGGUGAGCUAAUCUCUUAAAGUACGUCUCAGUUCGGAUUGUAGUCUGCAACUCGACUACAUGAAGUCGGAAUCGCUAGUAAUCGCGGAUCAGCACGCCGCGGUGAAUACGUUCCCGGGUCUUGUACACACCGCCCGUCACACCAUGGGAGUUUGUAAUGCCCAAAGCCGGUGCCUAACCU